UUAUGAACUCUGUGAUUAUGUCUAACAUGGCUAAAAUUACAUAAUAUUAUUUUUGUAAAAGGAUGGAGUUUUAAACACCUAGUGAUUAGAGGCAUUCUUCAGACUACAAGUAAACAGAGACUGCAUACCCACAAAAUAUGUACAAAAGUGAAACAAAUACCUUUUUUUUUAAACAAAGUUAACAUCUGUAGAAAAUUGAUGGACUUGAACAGAGUAGCUACUAACAAAGAAUAAAUGAAAACAUAAGUUACAUGUAGAUAUGUUCUUAUUCAGCUCAUCAUAUUUAUCCCCUGGUGACUUAAAGACAUAAUGGAAGACAAAAUGUUUUAAAAGAGUAAAAAAACCAGAGGUCAAAUACUAAAUAAGAUGGAGUAUAUAUAAAAUAGUAAGAGAAGCUACUAUAAUUAAGCAAACUACAUAACUCUGAAAAAUGUGGAUACUUUCUGCCAUCCUGUUUUACUUUGAUAGUGUUUCCAGAGCCCUAAAUCAAUUAGAUUUAAACAUUUUAUUUUUACCUCAGAGACAGUUCCUUCAUUUGAAUAGACAUUGGGAAGUUAGCUCAGUGAUUAAGAAUCUAAAGAAUGAAAGUAUGAGAGACCGAAUAUUGACUCCCAAGGAUAUCCACUUCUAAUUCCUGGAUCCUGUGAAUGUCACUUUAUACAGCAAAAAAGGACUUUGCAGAUAUGAUUAAAUUAAGAAUUUUGAGAUGGGGAGGUUAUCCUGGGUUAUCUGGGCAGACCCUAAUUUAAUCACAUUUUUCUCAUAAGAGUGACAGAGGGAUAUUGACACAGAAGAGGAGAAAGCAGCGUGACCACUGAGGCAGAGAACGGUGUGAAGGGGGGCCACAAGCCAAGGAAUGCCAACGGCUAGUAGAGCUGGAAGAGGCAAAGAAUAGGUUUCUUCCUUGAACGUCAGGAGGAAUGCGGCCUUAGUGACACCUUGGUUUUGAUGUGGGGAAACAGAUUUCAGACCAAGGCUUCUGACCUUCAAAAAAUGUAAAUGGGUAUUGUUAAGACAGCCUUGGAAAACUAAUAUACUAACCAAGCAAGAUAAGGAUAUAGUCACCCUUACUAUUUCCUUAAUACCACCUCUGUUUCCUGAAUUGCGGUUUUUAUCAGCCGUGCAUUUACUUUCACAUUUUCAAGGUUAAUGAUGUUUAUAUUCUGUUCUAUCCCAGUACUAGAGGCGUUGCAUGAGAAUGGGGUCUGUAGCAGGUUGGGCACAUUUGAACCUGGUCCUACUUAACAUCAGCAUAUUAAGUUUGGGCCCCAUGUGAUAACUUCUGGACUAUCUGAAGGAAAAUGUUCUUAGCAUCAAGAUCAAGUGGAUACUGUUUUUUUUUCUUAUAUAUACAUCAUCAGUUUCUCAAAAUUUGUCGUAUUUUACUUUACUUUGUAUUGGACAAUGGCUUUCUUAUUAUUCAUUUUCUCAUCUUUGAUAAAAAAUUAUUUUUCACAAUACCUCAAAAUGACCCAGUAUUUUAAUAAGUCAAAAAAUUUGAUAAAAAUCUACUUUCUCUUCAGCGGUAUUUCUCAGCUCUAAUCUGGACUACUUCUUAAAGCUGUGAAAUAAUGGUCCAACUGGGGUUUUAUGGUAAAUACUUGAACACUUUUUUUUUCUAUUUGUCAGUAAAAAUAAACCAAAAAUAGCACAUAAAGUACA
Molecule: long non-coding RNA, 1662 nt
Organism: Herpailurus yagouaroundi (jaguarundi)
Lineage: Eukaryota; Metazoa; Chordata; Mammalia; Carnivora; Felidae
Exons: 2
Source: RefSeq, a predicted model, not a curated record